AUCUAUGCAACUAUUCUAAAAUGACCUAUGAUGCCAAGUGCCUUGCUCAUUACUGGUGUAAUCAGUUUUGGAAUGAUUUUCAACAUGCAGUUUACAUCUGCAAGCAGGGGAAGAAUCAAAAUUCAGAGAAUCACUACUCAUAUGGUGAUAAUGAGGGUGCCCAAGCUGAGCUGAUAUUUGAUGAUGAGGCGCUGGAUCAGCUAAGUGCCAUCCCCGGGGUCCUGGAGAUGGCUGUGGAGAUGGGCUAUCAGUGUGAUGUAAAUAGUUUUUCAUAGAACCUGUAAAUAAUUAGGUGAGACAUCUCACAAGUACUUAGGAUAAUAUAAGAUUAAGGUAGUUUAACCUUAUCUUAACUAAUCCUAAGAUUGUAUGAUAUAAGAUUACAUAGGAUAAGACUAAGAAUAGGUUAAGAUAAGGUUGUAUAUAAUGUAAGAUAACAUAGAAUAAGAUAAGACUAAGAUAGGAUAAGUUAAGAUUAAAGUAAGAUAGUAUGACAUAAGAUUACAUAGGAUAAGAUAAGAAUAGGUUAAGAUAAGACUUCUUAUUCUUGUUUUUCUAUUAAAUAAAUAUGGAUUAUUUUGCGUA
Molecule: long non-coding RNA, 585 nt
Organism: Brienomyrus brachyistius
Lineage: Eukaryota; Metazoa; Chordata; Actinopteri; Osteoglossiformes; Mormyridae
Exons: 2
Source: RefSeq, a predicted model, not a curated record